This 73-nucleotide transfer RNA is filed under the name Cordylochernes scorpioides. Its description in RNAcentral is "tRNA-Thr". It matches the Rfam family "tRNA". From Rfam's summary of the family: Transfer RNA (tRNA) molecules are approximately 80 nucleotides in length. Their secondary structure includes four short double-helical elements and three loops (D, anti-codon, and T loops). Lineage: Eukaryota; Metazoa; Arthropoda; Arachnida; Pseudoscorpiones; Chernetidae. The record is from RNAcentral.
UCCAGGGUAGCCUAGUGGACAUGGCAUCUGCCCGGUAAACGGAAGGUCGUGGGUUCGAUUCCCGCCCCUGGAC